UACGUAGGGAGCAAGCGUUGUCCGGAAUCACUGGGCGUAAAGAGCACGUAGGCGGCUAUUUAAGUCAGAUGUGAAAACCAAGGGCUCAACCCGUGGAUUGCAUUUGAAACUGGAUGGCUUGAGGACAGGAGAGGUAAGUGGAAUUCCUAGUGUAGCGGUGAAAUGCGUAGAUAUUAGGAGGAACACCAGUGGCGAAGGCGACUUACUGGCCUGUAACUGACGCUGAGGUGCGAAAGCGUGGGGAGCGAACGGG
This 253-nucleotide ribosomal RNA is filed under the name uncultured Clostridia bacterium. RNAcentral describes it as "partial 16S ribosomal RNA". It matches the Rfam family "Bacterial small subunit ribosomal RNA", at positions 524 to 776 of the family's 1533-position model. The record is from RNAcentral. Lineage: Bacteria; Bacillati; Bacillota; Clostridia.